RNAcentral lists this long non-coding RNA (226 nucleotides) under Pelobates cultripes (western spadefoot toad). Lineage: Eukaryota; Metazoa; Chordata; Amphibia; Anura; Pelobatidae. The record is from RNAcentral.
CUUAUUUGAUAGCAGCUUCACAAGUCUUGCAUCCAUUGAACUUGUGAGUUUUUGGACAGUUUCUGCUUCAAUUUGUUUGCAAGAUGUCAGAAUAGUCUCCCAGAGCUGCUGUUUGAAUGUAAACUGCCUCCCACCCUCAUAGAUCUUUUCCUUGAGGAUGCUCCAAAGGUUCUCAAUAGGAUUGAGGUCAGGGGAGGAUGGAUGCCACACCAUGACUUUCUUUCCU